UACGUAGGGUGCAAGCGUUAAUCGGAAUUACUGGGCGUAAAGCGUGCGCAGGCGGUUUUGUAAGACAGAGGUGAAAUCCCCGGGCUCAACCUGGGAACUGCCUUUGUGACUGCAAGGCUUGAGUGCGGCAGAGGGGGAUGGAAUUCCGCGUGUAGCAGUGAAAUGCGUAGAUAUGCGGAGGAACACCGAUGGCGAAGGCAACCCCCUGGGCCAAAACUGACGCUCAUGCACGAAAGCGUGGGGAGCAAACAGG
RNAcentral lists this ribosomal RNA (253 nucleotides) under uncultured bacterium. RNAcentral's name for it is "partial 16S ribosomal RNA". It matches the Rfam family "Bacterial small subunit ribosomal RNA", at positions 524 to 776 of the family's 1533-position model. The record is from RNAcentral.